GACGAACGCUGGUGGCGUGCUUAACACAUGCAAGUCGAACGGAAAGGCCCUGCUUUUGUGGGGUGCUCGAGUGGCGAACGGGUGAGUAACACGUGAGUAACCUGCCCUUGACUUUGGGAUAACUUCAGGAAACUGGGGCUAAUACCGGAUAGGAGCUCCUGCUGCAUGGUGGGGGUUGGAAAGUUUCGGCGGUUGGGGAUGGACUCGCGGCUUAUCAGCUUGUUGGUGGGGUAGUGGCUUACCAAGGCUUUGACGGGUAGCCGGCCUGAGAGGGUGACCGGCCACAUUGGGACUGAGAUACGGCCCAGACUCCUACGGGAGGCAGCAGUGGGGAAUAUUGCACAAUGGGCGGAAGCCUGAUGCAGCAACGCCGCGUGCGGGAUGACGGCCUUCGGGUUGUAAACCGCUUUCGCCUGUGACGAAGCGUGAGUGACGGUAAUGGGUAAAGAAGCACCGGCUAACUAUGUG
RNAcentral lists this ribosomal RNA (468 nucleotides) under uncultured bacterium. Its description in RNAcentral is "partial 16S ribosomal RNA". It matches the Rfam family "Bacterial small subunit ribosomal RNA", at positions 28 to 507 of the family's 1533-position model. The record is from RNAcentral.